UAACCACGUAUUUGUGAAGAUGGCGGCCUCUGUUCAGGUAAGACGACAAAGGUAAGACGACGAUCACCCACCCUCAUCAAGCACCGACUUUCGUCGCCACCACUCACACGACCCAUCUCCGUCUCCGGUCACCCACCACCGUACUCCUUCUCCACCCUGAACCCCAAUCGCCGUACAAGGACGUAUUUCCGGUGGUCGUCUCUGGCGGUGGAACGGUCGCAUCAAUCACUGGGUUUGAAGAGGGGUUAUCGCAUACAUGGUCAGCCUAGGGUUAGGAUGAAGAUGCAGUGAGAUGACGGCACAGCUUCUUACAGACCAACUGAAGAUUUCAAACGUCCUUAAAGAGCAGCCCUUCAUUAGCCUUUUCAGUAUCUCAGAGUUAAAAACAGGUUUUAAUGUUUUAAUUCGUUAAUGUUGCUCCCAAAAAGAGUUUGUGUUUCUUUGUUUAAUCACCGGUGGUUACAUACAUGCUAAUUUAAUUCAAAAUUGAACUAUAAUAUUCACCAAAAACAGAUUGACCAGGUGGUAGCACAUUAAUGGUGGCGAGCAACUGACUUGCAAUAGGAACUUUCUUAUCGUCGUUCCUGUAGCGUUGUAAGUUCUCUUAGUUUAAGUUUAUACCAUCAUUACUAUCUUUUGAUAUCAUUGCAUUUGAAGUUUAUAACUGUUAGUUAUGACCUGUAAGUCUCUCUUGGAAAAGAAACUAUGCAAAUAACGCUGGACCCAACUUUUGACACUAAAAAAAUGCUAAAAGUAUCCUUGAUGCAGGACUGGUCAUUAUAAGAUAAUAGAUUUGGAUGUAUCUAUAACUAGCAAAAUAAGUGGGGUAACGCCGUAACGGGAUCAGAAUGGGUUCGGGGUUUGGGUCAAACCUAAUAUGAAAUUCGUGGGUUUGGGUUUGGUAUAAACGGUUUCGGGUCAGUUUCAGCCGAACCCGCUUAGCUAAACGGUUCGUGUUUGGGUCGAAUCCGACAGGGUCAAGGAGAAGGAUCUGUUGGUGCUUAUCUUGAUAUGAAUGGAAACAGGGUGUCUACUCCAGCCGAUGCAUUAAUCCUCACCUUGUGUCCCCGGAGGAAAGGCCAGUUUUAAAUGGCUUGACAUCAUUCCCAGAAUCAGAGACUUCGCCAAGAAGCAAUUCCGGUAGCAACGGUAUUGUUCAGCCACGGUUUGCUCGCGCUUCCUCUUUAGGAGUGGCUUUGCAUAAGGAAAUAGUAGCGGCUCUUGCUGACUUGUUAUAUAAUGAUGAAAAUUAAGUCUCAUCGAUGUUGCUGAUAUUGAACAAAUUCUAAACCAAUCCGAGAUGACAACGCAAGUUUUUCUGCAAGCAGUCCGGUAUCUUGCUCAAUCCAUGCUUGAAAAUAUUGAGUAUAUAAUCCAGGUGAUCGAGUCUGUACAGCACUUGUCAACAAACACCAUGGAAGCUCUAAAAGGGCUUCGAAAGAUUAGUAACAUUUUAUCGGAGAUGUGAGGUGAUUUUCUUCUUUAUAAUACAUAAACUGUAAUUAUGAUUUUUGGGAGUGGAUGGCACUCUUGUAAUUUAGGUUAACAGCUUCCGGUUAGCUUGUAAAUGUAAAUAUAUACAUGUAUCAUAUUAUUUGAGUGACAAACUGAUUUUCAUAAUGUUAUAAUCUCAUGUAAUUGUAUACUAACUUCUAAAGGCUUUUGAUUGCCAAAUUAAAUACAUGAACUUUAUUUAGUGA
Molecule: long non-coding RNA, 1700 nt
Organism: Helianthus annuus (common sunflower)
Lineage: Eukaryota; Viridiplantae; Streptophyta; Magnoliopsida; Asterales; Asteraceae
Exons: 7
Source: RefSeq, a predicted model, not a curated record